ACGGAAGGCAGCAGUGGGGAAUAUUGGGCAAUGGGCGCAAGCCUGACCCAGCGACGCCGCGUGAGUGAUGAAGUAUUUUGGUAUGUAAAGCUCUUUAAGCAGGGAAGAUAAUGACGGUACCUGUAGAAUAAGCACCGGCUAAAUACGUGCCAGCAGCCGCGGUAAUACGUAUGGUGCAAGCGUUAUCCGGAUUUACUGGGUGUAAAGGGAGCGUAGGUGGUUUGGCAAGCCAGAAGUGAAAACCCGGGGCUCAACUCCGUGGAUUGCUUUUGGAACUGUUGGACUAGAGUGCAGGAGGGGUAAGCGGAAUUCCCAGUGUAGCGGUGAAAUGCGUAGAUAUUGGGAGGAACACCAGCGGCGAAGGCGGCUUACUGGACUGUUACUGACACUGAGGCUCGAAAGCGUGGGGAGCAAACAGGAUUAGAUACCCUGGUA
Molecule: ribosomal RNA, 435 nt
Filed under: uncultured Lachnospiraceae bacterium
Lineage: Bacteria; Bacillati; Bacillota; Clostridia; Lachnospirales; Lachnospiraceae
Description: partial 16S ribosomal RNA
Rfam family: Bacterial small subunit ribosomal RNA
Source: RNAcentral